This 468-nucleotide ribosomal RNA is filed under the name uncultured bacterium. Its description in RNAcentral is "partial 16S ribosomal RNA". It matches the Rfam family "Bacterial small subunit ribosomal RNA", at positions 28 to 507 of the family's 1533-position model. The record is from RNAcentral.
GACGAACGCUGGCGGCGUGCUUAACACAUGCAAGUCGAACGGAAAGGCCCUGCUUUUGUGGGGUGCUCGAGUGGCGAACGGGUGAGUAACACGUGAGUAACCUGCCCUUGACUUUGGGAUAACUUCAGGAAACUGGGGCUAAUACCGGAUAGGAGCUCCUGCUGCAUGGUGGGGGGUGGAAAGUUUCGGCGGUUGGGGAUGGACUCGCGGCUUAUCAGCUUGUUGGUGGGGUAGUGGCUUACCAAGGCUUUGACGGGUAGCCGGCCUGAGAGGGUGACCGGCCACAUUGGGACUGAGAUACGGCCCAGACUCCUACGGGAGGCAGCAGUGGGGAAUAUUGCACAAUGGGCGGAAGCCUGAUGCAGCAACGCCGCGUGCGGGAUGACGGCCUUCGGGUUGUAAACCGCUUUCGCCUGUGACGAAGCGUGGGUGACGGUAAUGGGUAAAGAAGCACCGGCUAACUACGUG